Molecule: long non-coding RNA, 350 nt
Filed under: Homo sapiens (human)
Lineage: Eukaryota; Metazoa; Chordata; Mammalia; Primates; Hominidae
Description: non-protein coding lnc-C1QL4-1:3
Source: RNAcentral
CCGGGGGAUAGUGAGGGCGGUGGACCGAAGAUGACAUUUAUCCAAGGGAGUGUAAAAUAGAGUCAGAGAAGCACUGGUAUGAGGAGUUUGGAGCCCUCAUUCCAUUCAUUCCCUGAGUUCUAGGAGCCUCCUCUGUUCCUCCAGAAGCCAAAAGACAGGGCAGGAAGACAAAAUCUUUCCGCAACUCCUCACCAUUCUCUGUUGUGCCCACAAUCUCCGGUUCCACCCUCACUGUAAAAUCACGUCUCCAUCCGCCUGCUUGAUCUUUCAGCCAGCCGCUCCUCAGCUGGAGAAUGGGAAAUAAUGGGCUGUGCCAGCAAGCCACACUCCAAGGGCAGAGUGCUCAGUGA